CUCCUGGGGGUCUGGGGUCUGGAUGGUGCGCCCCGAGUCCUCGGGUCUUCUGGUCCUGUGGCUGUGUCUUUGUUUUGUCAAUUGCGCCCUCUUCUCUGGCGCUCGGCUGUUUGCUGCACCCACGGCCAGGAGACCACAUACUGAGAACGCACUGAACCCGGAACUUUCUGGGCCACCAAGUAUUCCCGGGAAGACUGACUGAGAGGGUCCCAGAGUGUGUACCCUCCUCCAGGCCGGCCAGGUAGAGGGCAGAUCUGGAUUUUCCCUCGGCUUUUCCUGGAAGCCUGGGCAAAGCCAGCCCCUCAGGGCCGUGGCACCCGGAUCUCCCAGCUCCACGUGGAGAGAGGAUGAGGGCGACAGUCCUCUGUGACCAGAGGAGAUGCAGAGCCAGGGCUCCGCCUGCAGAGGCUCUCGUCCAUUUGACAGGCACCCUGUCCUGCCAGGUCUCUGCCCCGUUCCUGUGUCUCUCUGGCUGUAGGAAGCAGCAGGACCUUCAGAGUGUGGGGAUAUGCACCUUAGUGAGGCCGUGGUUUUACUCAGGCUGCAGAGCAUCCUCCUACCUCGAGAUGAAGGGCACAGGGAGACGGAGCACCAGGACUGCCGCCAGUGGGAACGCGCUGCACCCGCAGAGCACAGGAAGUUGGAGCCGUUCUGGAAGCUGGAAGCUGCUCUUCUGCCCGAUACUGGUUUGAGAGGCAGUCAGGAGGGCUCCACCCCUGUCAACAGGACAAAAGUCCCAGAGUCGAGAGCUCGGCUGGGCCACUUCCUGAGGGAGAUGCAGCUCCAUGAGGCCUGGAGGCUGAGGAGAGUCAGGAGGAGACGCUGGAGAGGAGGGCCCAGCGUGGCCCAGCCUGCCCUGCGGCUCCUGGGGCUGCAGGUGCCAGUCGCACCUUCAGGGCUGCGGUUGGGUGUCCUCCACGGCGCUUGCGAGGGGGACCUUGAGGUUUCUUCUGGCCUCGGCUUCCUCUCACAACAACAAGGGUUGGUUCCUCGAAGGGCAAGGAUGCAUCACUGUUCGUGAUUUUCCAUCUCGGCUGCCUCUCGGCCUUCCCUGCUUGGGUGGCUCUUAACCCACAACCAAGGAACCCAGUGUCCUCUGGAUCUGGUUCUGCAUGCACUCUCCCAGCUCCUGCUGGUACAUGUUUCCUGGGUCCUGACGCUCGUUUGCUGACAGGUCCUUCCUUCCUCGUCAGACCCUGAGCUUCUCCAGCUGCGUGACACUGAUGUCGUGGAGGAGCAGAGCUGGAGCAGAUCACUGGGGAAUCCGUGUCGUCAUACAGACAUCUCUGCGUCAUGUUCCAGCACAGAUAGAGCAUUUGCCUUCAACAGGGAGAAGAAGGACACCUCUUCGGGUCCAGAAGAUGUAGGGAAACCUGAGGUUCAAGAAUUUGAGUGUAUUGAUCAGAUGACCCUCCCUGAAGCCUCAGGGUCUCCCUUCUUCCCAACCAGGUCCUGACAUUGGGCAGCAGCCUCCCUUGGGUUGAGGGCUGCUGUCUUUAGGACUGAGUCUUGAUCCACGGCUCUUUUUGGUUCUCUGGCUGCAGGAGAGGAGAGUGUCUAUAUGGCACCAAGGAAGCCCUCUUUUUGUCACUUUUUUUUAAAAUUGGAGAUCUUUUCAUUGCCUUGUUCUUGGCAAGAGCUGCCUGAUUCCGUAAUGCAGAUGGUUGCUGCUCUUCCCAGCCACUCCGAUGCCCUGGAUGCGGCACCCAGCAGUGUGUUUCUUUCAUUGGGCUUCCACCCUGGCUCAGUGCUACUACUGCCUGGCAGGGCUGUGGUGCCACCAGUGAUGUGCCACUUGGCAUUCUGUGCUCAACCCCACCAUACAGGCUGCUCCUGGAACACUUCUGGCCCCACCAUCUUCUGCUGGGCUCCCCUGGACACAAACUCUGAAGCAGAGGUUUGUGUGCAAGAGGUUAUUGGGAGUGUUCUCGGAAGAAAAGUCCUGUGAGCGUGGGAGGGAAGAAGGAUCGGGCAGAGGAGUAUCUUGACCACUGUGCAGGUCUGUGGGGCCUCGGCUGACCCUCUGAGAUGCUCAGCAGCUGGGGCUGCUGGUUAGUUGUCUUGAUGGAGGCAGAGCCUUGGUCUUGGGGACUGGGGGCAUCUGGAUGGCGCACGACAGCACACCCUACAGAAGCCUCUGAGGUCUCAGAGUUAGAGGCAGCAACGGUGGAGUUUGAGCCAAGGAAAAGCUGCUGUCCUAACUUGCAUGUUAAACUCGCAGUAAACACCAUGUAUGGAGGUCUUGACGGGAUGAAGUCAAGCAGGUGACGAGGACCUGGAAGGAGACUCAGGUAGCCACGGUGAAGAAUGCUUAGUAACCCUUUUCACGUGUACCUAAGCCUUUUUUUUUAGGAAAUGAGGAUAAAACAGUGAAAAACCAGGCCUUGUCUUCAGGAAGCUUGUGUUCUGGUGUGUGCAGGGUGUGUGUGGGCUACCCAGAUGGGGGAGGGGGGAAGUCAGGGGAGACACAGACCAUACCUGAGGCAAGGAAGGAACCCCACAGAGGCCUGAGGGUCAGGAGGGCAGACCCAGGGCACUUGGCUUGUGUGAG
Long non-coding RNA from Equus asinus (donkey), 2551 nucleotides. The record is from Ensembl. Lineage: Eukaryota; Metazoa; Chordata; Mammalia; Perissodactyla; Equidae.